UACAUUUUGUUUGUUCACUCAAUUGGUUAUUUACUAUUAAUAUCAUUCCAAGGAAAAAUGAAAAAUAUCACAUCAGGUGAUCAUAUACAUUGCGUACUUUGAAAGGACAUUUAAAGUGGCGCGCGAAUUCACCCGGUGAAUGUUUUUCGUUUACUUCGAUUGGCAGGACUGUUCGGAAAAUUCGGAAAGUGAACAGGUGUUUUUUGAAUGGAUUAGCGAGAGAGAGAGAGAGAGAGAGAGAGAGAGAAACAGUAGGCGAAAGGAUGCGUAGAGUUUCGGUGAAUGGUGAACGAUCGGCGGCGAAUUGAAGGAAAUUUACAAAUGAUUAAGGUCCUCAAAGAUAAACAUGAACACGGAUUCAGAUUCGGUUUACCAAUGAAAAUGAGGUGAGUCCUAGGAACGAAACCUCAGUUCUAUAAGAACGAUGUGUUCCUGUAACCUUGCAAUCCAAUAAGAAGAAGAUGUGACAUAUAACAGUUUUAGUAUGACCACCAGAAACAAUCCAUUAAUUGAUAAAAGAAAAAUGAUAUCAGCUUGGUUCCCAUGGCACGCAUACAUUUGCUUCUUCCUGUAUUAA
RNAcentral lists this unclassified non-coding RNA (577 nucleotides) under Polistes canadensis. RNAcentral describes it as "suppressor of hairless protein, transcript variant X1". Lineage: Eukaryota; Metazoa; Arthropoda; Insecta; Hymenoptera; Vespidae. The record is from RNAcentral.